UUUGGCACUAGCACAUUUUUGUGUUCCUGUCGUACGACAAAAAUUGUAGUAGUGUCAAGUA
This 61-nucleotide microRNA precursor is filed under the name Centruroides sculpturatus (bark scorpion). RNAcentral describes it as "Csc-Mir-96-P1w_pre stem-loop". Lineage: Eukaryota; Metazoa; Arthropoda; Arachnida; Scorpiones; Buthidae. The record is from RNAcentral.